This 333-nucleotide long non-coding RNA is filed under the name Nicotiana benthamiana. RNAcentral's name for it is "long non-coding RNA (NBEN_LNC033241)". Lineage: Eukaryota; Viridiplantae; Streptophyta; Magnoliopsida; Solanales; Solanaceae. The record is from RNAcentral.
CCUUAUCUCCAGCUUCCUCAGCUUAGAACAGCCGUCAAGCACGCACUGCAUACCCCAGUCACUGCUUCCAGCAAAAGCCACUGAAAGUGUCUCAAGGUUUUUAGCAUACUUCCCAAUAUACUCAAAUGUCUGGUCAGUUAACAGCCCAGAAACAGAAAGCCUCUGGAGCUUUGCACAAGUCUUGACCACAAGGUUUUUAGCAUAUUUCCCGAUAUACUCAAAGGUCUGGUCAGUUAACAGCCCAGAAACGGAGAGCCUCUGGAGCUUUGUACAAGUCUUGACCACUGCACCAAAAGCCUCAUCCAUGGGUUCAUUUGUCAGGUAAUCUGGUUG